This 497-nucleotide ribosomal RNA is filed under the name uncultured bacterium. RNAcentral's name for it is "partial 16S ribosomal RNA". It matches the Rfam family "Bacterial small subunit ribosomal RNA", at positions 28 to 507 of the family's 1533-position model. The record is from RNAcentral.
GAUGAACGCUGGCGGCGUGCCUAAUACAUGCAAGUCGAGCGAACAGACGAGGAGCUUGCUCCUCUGACGUUAGCGGCGGACGGGUGAGUAACACGUGGAUAACCUACCUAUAAGACUGGGAUAACUUCGGGAAACCGGAGCUAAUACCGGAGAAUAUAUUGAACCGCAUGGUUCAAUAGUGAAAGACGGUUUUGCUGUCACUUAUAGAUGGAUCCGCGCCGCAUUAGCUAGUUGGUAAGGUAACGGCUUACCAAGGCAACGAUGCGUAGCCGACCUGAGAGGGUGGUCGGCCACACUGGAACUGAGACACGGUCCAGACUCCUACGGGAGGCAGCAGUAGGGAAUCUUCCGCAAUGGGCGAAAGCUUGACGGAGCAACGCCGCGUGAGUGAUGAAGGUCUUCGGAUCGUAAAACUCUGUUAUUAGGGAAGAACAAAUGUGUAAGUAACUAUGCACGUCUUGACGGUACCUAAUCAGAAAGCCACGGCUAACUACGUG